AUGGAACCUCGUCCGUCAAGCAGGCCGGCCGGAUGCUCACUGGCCGUUGUGUCGUUAAUUUCUCGUUUUUGUCUUCCUGUCGAUGGCUAUGUGUUUAUUGGAAGGAAAAGUCGGGCGAAGCAACCUAUCGUUUUCCAGCAUGCGUGGAGAAAAAACAGUUCGCUUCUGGAGAUUGAAAGAUUGUACGUAUGUGGUCACUCUAAGACAUGGUCAUAUGCUGGAUUGUUCUCACUCCACCUGUCGGAUGACAAGAGCGUCAGGGAAGUGGCUUCAGUCUCGGCGGCGAGUGGCCUGCGGCGUGGGGAGCGGCGGUUGAUCCUAGUGGCUAGGUAA
Molecule: ribosomal RNA, 333 nt
Filed under: Triticum aestivum (bread wheat)
Lineage: Eukaryota; Viridiplantae; Streptophyta; Magnoliopsida; Poales; Poaceae
Description: partial small subunit ribosomal RNA
Source: RNAcentral